Molecule: ribosomal RNA, 497 nt
Filed under: uncultured bacterium
Lineage: Bacteria
Description: partial 16S ribosomal RNA
Rfam family: Bacterial small subunit ribosomal RNA
Source: RNAcentral
GAUGAACGCUGGCGGCGUGCCUAAUACAUGCAAGUCGAGCGAACGGACGAGAAGCUUGCUUCUCUGAUGUUAGCGGCGGACGGGUGAGUAACACGUGGAUAACCUACCUAUAAGACUGGGAUAACUUCGGGAAACCGGAGCUAAUACCGGAUAAUAUUUUGAACCGCAUGGUUCAAAAGUGAAAGACGGUCUUGCUGUCACUUAUAUAUGGAUCCGCGCUGCAUUAGCUAGUUGGUAAGGUAACGGCUUACCAAGGCAACGAUGCAUAGCCGACCUGAGAGGGUGAUAGGCGACACUGGAACUGAGACACCGUCCAGACUCCUACGGGAGGCAGCAGUAGGGAAUCUUCCGCAAUGGGCGAAAGCCUGACGGAGCAACGACGAGUGAGUGAUGAAGGUCUUCGGAUCGUAAAACUCUGUUAUUAGGGAAGAACAUAUGUGUAAGUAACUGUGCACAUCUUGACGGUACCUAAUCAGAAAGCCACGGCUAACUACGUG